AUAUAUAUAUAUAUAUAUAUGUCCCUUUCUUAAUAUCUAAUAAGCUUUUAUUAAUCAUAUCCAUCAGGAAAAUACCGACAUAGAGGAAUUGAUAUAUGAAGCUAUAUCAAAUUGGGUGUCUUACCUUAACAAAGAAAAAAAAGAAUCAUUUCGGAAGGUGAUCCGAACUUCCUGCGAUCACUUGGUGUCCCUUUCGUCUGAUCUCAUUCACAUCCCCACACCAGAUACUCCUUGCCAAGUUUGUCAGGACCCAAAUGACAAUUGGCUCUGUUUAAGCUGCAAAGGGGUUUUCUGUAGCCGUAAUGUUAACAUGCACUUUCAAGACCAUUAUCGCAAGACACUUCACUGCUUAGCAUUUCAAAACAAAACAGAGAUUUAGUAUUUUGGUGCAACUCCUGCAAUGCUUUUUUAGAUGCGCAAGUGAUCGAGGAACUCCGUCCUCUCUACAUAAAGGCUUACAUACAAAAAUUCGCCCUAAAGGGUCCUUUAGCAGCGGCACGACAAAGAAAAAUACAGACCAGCUCAUCAUGUUCCACGGUUCAAUCCAUUGAGAACAAAGAGGACAAAAGCUGUGUAAUGAAGACGAAUCCAUCUCAAACCAACAACUCCUGCAACGGAGAAAUAACAUUUUUGAAUUGGAAAUGUAAAUGCGGGGAGACAGCAGAUUUGAAGAUAUCUGAAACAACAGAAAAUCCAAAUAAAGUUAUUUCUUGCUGCCCAAAAAAAGGGGAUGGUUGCAGUUUUUUUGCACGUUGGGAACGAGAUGAUCCAGCAUGCUCUAUUGUUGGGGGCUCAUCUUCGAAUCGAGAAAUUAGUUUGAAUUUUAAGAAUGCUGCAGCUCAAGUUCCUUAUAUUGGUGCUUCAACAUCAAACCCGGGGAUUCUUGAACGGAUCGUGGCUUUGGAAGCAAACGUUGCUGCUGGAAAAAUGCUUGUUUUGUUCAAUUUCUUGGUUGUGUUUCUGUGCUUAUUUCUUGUGGUCUGUGUAAUGGUUAAAAUUUAAGUGUUUGUAUUCAUCUAUCUAUGCUAAGUUGUUGGGAUAAUGUUCUUUUUUUCUUUUAUAUUAUUUUAGUAUGGAUGUUAAAAAAUGUUGAAAAA
Morus notabilis is the source of this 1097-nucleotide RNA transcript. RefSeq lists it as uncharacterized. The transcript is spliced from 5 exons. The record is from RefSeq and is a predicted model, not a curated record. Lineage: Eukaryota; Viridiplantae; Streptophyta; Magnoliopsida; Rosales; Moraceae.